UUCCGGUUGAUCCCGCCGGAGGCCACUGCUAUCGGGGUCCGACUAAGCCAUGCGAGUCAAGGGGGUGUCCCUCUGGGACACCACCGGCGGACGGCUCAGUAACACGUCGGUAACCUACCCUCGGGAGGGGGAUAACCCCGGGAAACUGGGGCUAAUCCCCCAUAGGCCUGAGGUACUGGAAGGUCCUCAGGCCGAAAGGGGCUUUUGCCCGCCCGAGGAUGGGCCGGCGGCCGAUUAGGUAGUUGGUGGGGUAACGGCCCACCAAGCCGAAGAUCGGUACGGGCUGUGAGAGCAGGAGCCCGGAGAUGGACACUGAGACACGGGUCCAGGCCCUACGGGGCGCAGCAGGCGCGAAACCUCCGCAAUGCGGGAAACCGCGACGGGGGGACCCCGAGUGCCGUGGCACCGCCACGGCUUUUCCGGAGUGUAAAAAGCUCCGGGAAUAAGGGCUGGGCAAGGCCGGUGGCAGCCGCCGCGGUAAUACCGGCGGCCCGAGUGGUGGCCGCUAUUAUUGGGCCUAAAGCGUCCGUAGCCGGGCCCGUAAGUCCCUGGCGAAAUCCCACGGCUCAACCGUGGGGCUUGCUGGGGAUACUGCGGGCCUUGGGACCGGGAGAGGCGGGGGGUACCCCUGGGGUAGGGGUGAAAUCCUAUAAUCCCAGGGGGACCGCCAGUGGCGAAGGCGCCCCGCUGGAACGGGUCCGACGGUGAGGGACGAAGGCCAGGGGAGCAAACCGGAUUAGAUACCCGGGUAGUCCUGGCUGUAAAGGAUGCGGGCUAGGUGUCGGGUGAGCUUCGAGCUCGCCCGGUGCCGUAGGGAAGCCGUUAAGCCCGCCGCCUUGGGAGUACGGCCGCA
This 853-nucleotide ribosomal RNA is filed under the name uncultured archaeon. RNAcentral's name for it is "bacterial SSU rRNA". It matches the Rfam family "Archaeal small subunit ribosomal RNA", at positions 1 to 845 of the family's 1478-position model. The record is from RNAcentral.